This is a long non-coding RNA of Notolabrus celidotus (New Zealand spotty), 1886 nucleotides long. RefSeq lists it as uncharacterized. The transcript has 3 exons. The record is from RefSeq and is a predicted model, not a curated record. NCBI's taxonomy places the organism in Eukaryota, Metazoa, Chordata, Actinopteri, Labriformes, Labridae.
GAAGCUCUGACUGUUUGGCUUCACUUUAGGAGAGCGGUUAUGCCAUCCAUCUUUGUAUACAGUCUUACCGUCGGCCUUUGCUGCUUCUUGUGGGAUUUACCUGGAGACCUCUUGCCUCUUCAAUUCUGAUUUCCUAUCAGGAACAUGAACAGCCUACUCUAAAAUCCUAAGUCUAUAAACUAUCACCUGUGUUUUAUCUACUGGGGGAAAUACAACAGCAUGUUUUGAUCAGCUGAUGCAGACAUCUUUACUCUUGUAACUUUGAGGAAACGAGAGAGACACUUUGAAGAGCUUGCGUGGUUGAGGACGUCCCCAAAAACAGGCGUGAAGGAUAACAGGACAGGAGAAGUGGACUUUGAGAAGGAGCUGCAUUAAUAAAGUCAAUAUCCUCAACAAUUAGUCCGGGGAGGAGGAGGAGGAGGAUUUGAAGCAUGGUCGCACCCCUCUCCAAAUGCCCCCUCAAGGGCUUCGGGGGGCAGCAACGUGUCCGGGGUUCCAGGAGGAGGGGGAGUAAGAGAGAUUGGUCUCUGUCCUGCCUCAGUUCUUGGGGGUCUUCCUCUCCUGGUUUCGUUCAAGUCUCUUUCCGUACUCUCACCAUCGAUCAGACCUUGGCCUCAAGCAUCUCUAGGAAGAGUUUGUGCAUGGGCACCUUGCCCUGCACUUUGAUGCUGUAAAAGUGCUGCACGGCCUUGGUUGCCGUCUGCCUCAGCAGAGGCAGCAUCAUGAGCAGCUUGCCUGCCCGUCGCGGGUCCUCUUGGUGCUGGCCGCUCUCGUAGUCCUGCAGGGCCUCAUGCAGAGCGUCCUGGAGCUUCUGGACUGCCUCCAUGUCCUCUAUGUGCAUAGAGUCUGAUGGUAGGAGAACAGAGACAGGAGAUUGAAGAGGAUGGAUUUUCAAAUAUAGAAAUAAAAAAGGUAACAGAGAAUUGUAGUUUACAACAGAACAGGGAUGUGAAAUUGAUUUUUCUAAAGCAAAAUUAAAUCUCAUGACUGAUCUUUACUGCUCCGUCAGAAGCUGGAAGGUGAGGAGAACAUUAUCAAUAUAACUCACACACUGACAAGAUAAAGAACAGAUCAUAAAAAAGAAAAAAAAACAUCUGUUUUAUUUUCUUUAUUUAUAUAUUUAUUCUUCAGGGGCCUGGGCGGGAUAUUCAUAUGGCCCUUGACCAGCAAGACUGAAAAUCAAUGCUAUCCUCCAGCAACAAUGGCAUGAAUAGCACCCAAUCUGGGCUGAGUGAGUACACAUUAAACACCUCGCUGUUCCAAAGGACAGAUUGUUUUCGAACACAAAAAAAGAAGGAGAAGAAAAAAACGAGGGGGCUCCAUUAGAGAAUUGGACGCUAUAAACAGGCCUGAGAGAAAAACAACACCUUUUAAUUUCAUGACCAUGCGAGCGUCUAGAUACACUAUUAAAACAGUUAUUAAAUGUAGCACCUAAAAACUGUCAUGUAAACAUUUCCAUGUAAAAGUUCUGUUUUCUUUUUAGAAUCGUGUUCUCUUUGUUGCCGUGUGAACUGAAACACUGAUUCUCAUUCAGCCAGCCCAAAUCUCCCCCUCCCCUCUUUGCUGAUUUUGGAGCAGUGUUUAGUUUCAGUCUGGCGUCUCUCCGGUGUUCUCUGCUCCUAUAAUGUUUCGCCACACUGCCACUGUUUUUUUUUUUUUACUGAUCCUACUGUACAUUGUGUUACAGCUUUCCUCUCUCAUUCUCGCCUUCCUCUGUCUCUUUUUCUACCGCCCUGCCUCUCUCAGGGACAGCCUCGGGGUCGCUGUUUUCUCUCACUGGUUAACCGGUGUCUGGCACUCUGGAGGCGGCGUGUCAUUGGCUGCCUGACUCGUCUCACCUUGGCGGUGCAUAUUUUACCACACGGGACAAUAAAAGGCAAAACAGA